CAGUAGCCGCGGGAAUACAGAGGGUGCGAGCGUUAAUCGGAUUUACUGGGCGUAAAGCGUGCGUAGGCGGCUUCUUAAGUCGGAUGUGAAAUCCCUGAGCUUAACUUAGGAAUUGCAUUCGAUACUGGGAAGCUAGAGUAUGGGAGAGGAUGGUAGAAUUCCAGGUGUAGCGGUGAAAUGCGUAGAGAUCUGGAGGAAUACCGAUGGCGAAGGCAGCCAUCUUGCCUAAUACUGACGCUGAGGUACGAAAGCAUGGGGAGCAAACAGGAUUAGAGACCCCUGUAGUCCCUGUCUCUUAUAC
Molecule: ribosomal RNA, 301 nt
Filed under: uncultured bacterium
Lineage: Bacteria
Description: partial 16S ribosomal RNA
Rfam family: Bacterial small subunit ribosomal RNA
Source: RNAcentral